GGUUAAAAAGCUCGUAGUUGGAUCUCGGCAGGCAGGGGGCGGUUCGCUAUUUAGCGACUACUGCCCCAUUUGCCUGUGUGAUUGGCGGAGGUUUCGGGGUGCUCUUUACUGAGUGUCCCGGGGCGCCGUCAGGUUUACUUUGAAAAAAUUAGAGUGCUCAAAGCAGGCUUUUCACGCUUGAAUAUUCGUGCAUGGAAUAAUGGAAUAGGAACUCGUUUCUAUUUUGUUGGUUUUCGGAAAUCGAGUUAAUGAUUAAUAGGGACAAUUGGGGGCAUUAGUAUUCAGACGACAGAGGUGAAAUUCUUGGACCGUCUGAAGACUAACUACUGCGAAAGCAUUUGCCAAGAGUGUUUUCCAUUAAUCAAGAACGAAAGUUAGAGGUUCGAAGGCGAUCAGAUACCGCCCUAGUUCUAACCAUAAACCGAUGCCAGCUAGCGAUCCGCUGAGUUUUUCUUUGUAGGCUCUGCGGGAAGCUUUCGGGAAACCAAAGCUUUUGGGUUCCGGGGGAAGUAUGGUUGC
Molecule: ribosomal RNA, 519 nt
Filed under: uncultured marine eukaryote
Lineage: Eukaryota
Description: SSU rRNA
Rfam family: Eukaryotic small subunit ribosomal RNA
Source: RNAcentral